Long non-coding RNA from Rhineura floridana, 2491 nucleotides. RefSeq lists it as uncharacterized. The transcript is spliced from 3 exons. NCBI's taxonomy places the organism in Eukaryota, Metazoa, Chordata, Lepidosauria, Squamata, Rhineuridae. The record is from RefSeq and is a predicted model, not a curated record.
GAGCGGCCUCCCAUUCUACAAAUCAAUCCCUGGCUUACUCCCGGUAGAGCUGGAAAUGAUUCUUGCCUGAAAUCCUUGAGUGUUCUUGCCAGUCAGCGUAGUCAGUAUUGACCUUGAUGGACCAAUGGAUCUGACUCACUAUUAGGAAUGGGCGACAAUUUUGAUUCAGUUCCCAUUUCAAGCAGAAUUGAUCAGACUCACAAUUUCCGAAACAGUAUCAGAACCGAAACAGCACCAUCCUUCGAAAUUUGCAUUUAUUAGUAUUUUGAGAUGCAGUUUGCCAACUAAACAACAUUUACAAAACUGCAUAUAUUAGGGGAAAGUGUGCAUAAAAAGGAAUACACGAGUGAAAUGAUAAAUGGUUUCCAAAAAUGUGUGCCUUUAUCAAAACUGCCUACAAAAAUGUGUUUAUUUGGAGAAAUUAGGGCUAAAGUGGUGAAUUUUCAUGAGGAUUUAAAAAAAAAUCCACAGAUCGCUGUAGAAAUGUAGAGAACUGAAUUUAACAUUGGAAAAAUGAGAAACUGAGAGAACCGAACCAGACAUGUCUUUCCAUCCCUGCUCACAUGGCAGCCUCCAGUGUCCCCCGGAUGUUAUUAUGCAAGUCUGACCCCUCCCUCACUACCUCUUAAAUUGAAUUAAGCCCUGGUUUGUAUGUAUCCAUUUACAUUUAAAUCCAAAACCAGAAUGUACUGCUAGCUUUAGGACCUAGAGAAGACUCUGCCUUGUGGGGAAGGAGGAGAUCUUCUGUUAGUUGCACACCUGUGGAAACAUCUACCUGGAUGCAGGUGAGAGGUGCAGAAGGAAGUUUGCUGUCGCCAGGUUGCAAGAGCAGGGUGCAGCCUGGAAUGGAAGGCAACCUUUUGGGUGGGCAAACCUACCUGUACACGGAACGUAGGGUGAUUCUUUUAUUUAAAAAAUGGCAGAUUUCUGCAGAAUCAAGAAGAACUGGAUUUACGAGUGGAAACUUGAGAAAUGAAGAGAACCGAAAUGGACUGAUCCUUCCAUCCCUAAGAGGAAUGCACCCUUUUCAGUUUUUUUGCAGAUCUGGAAAGUCCCAGGAAUGGAACGUCUGUGAACAUUUAGCGUAAAGCAACACUUGAGGAAAAGAAGACCGAGAGAUGCAAGAGGAGCGGAAAGAUGAGGAGAGCCACUUGGACUGUAACAAUUCCCCAGAAGAACCUUGCUCUGAGUCCUGGAAGUAUGUGGAGGUGGAGGCCAGGGAAAUGUCAGCUGCUUCUGCAUCCUCAGAAGACCCUUCUACAGAUCAGCUGGAUUCAGAUUUCAUCCCUUCUGUUUCCCUCGCUGCCUUUCUGGCCCUUGUGUUUUUCGUCUCUCUGAUCUUGCUUCAUCACAGAAACAGCUGCUUACCUUUGGGUGACUACAGGGCUGUGAGUCCCAGCAAGGCUUGUCCAACAAAAAGCAGCCUUUGGACCCUUUGCCGUCUCUUCCCAAACCAGCCAGAAACCACAUGGCAGACUCUUCAGCAAUACAUGCACGGCCAGCCAGGAGGGACUCAUCCCGGCAAGCUUCGGAUCCUGGUUGCUGUUGGGCUGGGUGAUGCAAGUGGUACUCUAUUGUGCCUCACAAAAGCAACUCUUUCAUUCCUGACAGAGGUACAUGCCGUGAGAGUUCGCUAUCUCGAGCAAAGGAGCACCUGUCUUUCUUGGAGGGACAUCCUAGAAAAUAGGACCUGCGAUAUCUCCACGGCUGAGAUUUAUGUGGGUCAGAGUCUUGUUCCGUAUGGAAUUAUGGUGUCCACAAAACUCUCCUUGGAUGGAAAAUGGUUGGCUGCCAAGAUCAAUCUUGCUAUGUUGUUGAAUGGUACAGAACAGGCUCGGGAAAUGUUCCUUCUCCAAGACUUGACGCUUCCCUUCAUGUCUGAUAUUGUGAACGCCAUUCUGCUUGCUGAUAAGAUACCAGAUAAAUUGAUGACCACCAACGGCAGCUUGUUUGUCCUCCUCGUAAGGUCUGAACAGUAUUUGGAAGGUGGUUUUGUCUGCUAGAGAGCCAGUGUGGCAUAGUGGUUAGAGUGUUGGACUAUGACCUGGAAGACCAGGGUUCGAAUCCCCACACAGCCAUGAAGCUCACUGGGUGACCAUGGGCCAGUCACUGCCUCCCAGCCUCAGAAGAAGGCAAUGGUAAAACCACCUCUGAAUACCGCUUACCAUGAAAAUCCUAUUCGUAGGGUCGCCAUAAGUCGGGAUCAACUUGAAGGCAGUCCAAUUACAUUUUGUUUGCUAAGUAGCGACUGUCUGGUGUGUGAAUGUUCUCAGAAGGGGCUACUUUCCGAUUAAUCUUUGGUGGGGCCACACAAUUACUGGGGAGUCUGGAAGGCAUGUCUUAAAAUGAAAGUAAUUGUUCCAAGGCUUCAUGUUAUUUGAAAAUCAUUUUUAUUUGGAUCUCCGCACUGGGACUAUUUACUAAUGCUGAUUGAUAGAAUCCUUUAUUUGAACAAGACUGAUUUAUGCUCCGGUUAAGAAUUUCUAUAUUA